UACGUAGGGUCCAAGCGUUAUCCGGAAUCACUGGGCGUAAAGCGUCCGCAGCCGGGAGUCUAAGUGAGGUGUUAAAUCGUGUGGCUCAACCAUAUCGAUGCAUCUCAUACUGGGCACCUAGAGGAAAUCAGAGGCAAGUGGAAUUACGAGUGUAGCGGUAAAAUGCGUAGAUAUUCGUAGGAACACCAAUGGCGAAGGCAGCUUGCUGGGAUUUUUCUGACGGUCAGGGACGAAAGCGUGGGGAGCGAACAGG
This 253-nucleotide ribosomal RNA is filed under the name uncultured bacterium. RNAcentral describes it as "partial 16S ribosomal RNA". It matches the Rfam family "Bacterial small subunit ribosomal RNA", at positions 524 to 776 of the family's 1533-position model. The record is from RNAcentral.